RNAcentral lists this long non-coding RNA (258 nucleotides) under Brassica napus (rape). RNAcentral describes it as "long non-coding RNA (BNAP_LNC021003)". The record is from RNAcentral. Lineage: Eukaryota; Viridiplantae; Streptophyta; Magnoliopsida; Brassicales; Brassicaceae.
UUUCAAAGUUAAUAGCUGAACUAAAUCACACAAUUUAUGUAGGAAGAAAGUUAUAAUACCUCUGCAACCUCUUCUGCUAAUUCAAACGCAGUUUUUUGCAGAAGAUAUUGUGCAAGAAUAUCAAAUAAGAGAAAUUUGACUUGCUCAUCAAAUCCUUCGGAGACAUGUAGAAUCAGGCGAUAUCUAUAAUGUUUAUAAGUAAGAAGGAAGCAAAAAUAAUAAGUAAUGGUUAAAAAGCAUACACGUAUAAAGCAAACU